GUUGAUUCUCUGGUAUGAGUUCAGAUGUCCUUGUGUUAUGUUGGUUAUGUCAUCGUUGAAGAAUCUGGCGUAAGAACUUCAUCAUAACCACACAAAAAUCAGAGAUCAACAAUACAAAGAGCUAUACUGGGGCGGCAGGUAGCCUAGUGGUUAGGUAGCGUUGGCCAGUAACCGAAAGGAUGCUACGUCGAAUCCCCGAGCUGACAAGCCUACACCCAUUGCAGAGAGCCCUAUGGAACAUCAAUCUCGGCCAGCUCAGUACAGGAACUACUCCCCCUGAUGUCUACUCACCCAGCACAGCACAGGAAGUAAUGGCCCAUCACAGAGCCUCAUGGGGAAUGUAGGCAAACUUCACCUGAUAAUGUCCAGUCCGUUGGAAGGUGAUUUGAAGGAUAUCAGCUGUGUGCUAGCCUUGCUCUGAAUUUGCUUUCCCUAUAGUCAAGAAUCCAUACCUCAAUAACAUUAAAUAGCCUAUGAAACCUUAUCCUCUAGGCCUGGUAGGUAAUGGCUAGAUAACCAUGUAAUUUUAUGCAACUGGUAGUUUAUGUUGCAACCCAGUAUCCUACAAAAUACGGGAGAGGGUGCCGAUUCUGAAGGUACCAGAUUACCUUCAGUGGACCAGGCGAAAUGUUGAAGCUAUACCAUCUGCAGGGACCAGAUCUCGUUUGGAACUGGCGAAAUGUAUAAACUAUACCAGUUGACCAUGCGCGGUGCUGUUUCACCCAUUUCAACCAUUUUGUAGACAGGCCCAUUGUUCUGUUUUUCAAUGAUUAGGUUAAAAUAAUUCCCUGAUCGAUUGUAAUUGAUGAUGGUAAUAAUAUAAAUAAUAUAAUAUUUUGGUCAUUUUUACUCUGCUGUUGUCUGAAUAUUUUUAUUAGGCUAGAAUUUAUUUUAAAAUGAGCAGUAAACAUGUUGAGGCUUAUUCACACUGGGCGAUGUAUUUUUUAAGUAUAUAUUUUGUAUCUGCAAUUUGGUGUAAUAUAAAUGUAUUAUUAACCAG
Salvelinus fontinalis (brook trout) is the source of this 1000-nucleotide long non-coding RNA. RefSeq lists it as uncharacterized. The record is from RefSeq and is a predicted model, not a curated record. The transcript has 2 exons. NCBI's taxonomy places the organism in Eukaryota, Metazoa, Chordata, Actinopteri, Salmoniformes, Salmonidae.